RNAcentral lists this long non-coding RNA (2131 nucleotides) under Homo sapiens (human). RNAcentral's name for it is "HSALNT0236325". Lineage: Eukaryota; Metazoa; Chordata; Mammalia; Primates; Hominidae. The record is from RNAcentral.
AUCAGGACCCUGGCAAGGCACCUGCCCAGCUGCUGCGAUCUCUGCCAUCCGCUUCUCCAUCUGCUCCAGUCGCUCUAGUAUGGACAUCCGGAACUGGUUGUCUGAGGGGGAACGGGUAUGGGAGGCUGAGUGGGCAGUCUAGGUGAUGCCCUGAACACCAAAAGUAGACCUGUCCCAAGAUCUGGGGAUGAGGACACAGAACCAUAUUCUUUUAUCUUCCCCAAAACAACAGCUCCUUUACCCCUUCACCUAAAUAAAGCCCACCAGGACUCAGUCCUUAAACUAGGGCUGUUAAUACUACCCACUGAUCUAGAACCCAGAUCUGGAACCAAAACUGUUUCCUUCAAGGUACAGAGGUAGUAGGAUUCCCAAAUGGUCAUCCAGCCUCCAGAUGUCCCAAAUCCCACCCGUACACACUCUUCCCCCCAGCCUUUUCCUAGGCAAAAUGUUCUGUCAAUUUUUGCAGCAGACACUACCUUUGUCCCCCAUGGUGAAGGUGAAGGAUUCCAGGGUCCCUCCCUUUUAAUAACCACUGCCCCAAAAAGCUCAGGGACUGUGAUUUGAAAAGUACCUCCCCUUCCUCCCAGCCCCCCGCAGCUGUCCACAAAGACGAUGGUGGGGGACGGAAGGUGACAGAGAUGGAUAGCCAUAUAGCCAUGUCCAUUUCUCCUCCUCCUCCUCCCCGCCCCAUAUACAAAUACGCACGUACACACAUAUCCCCCCAAGCUAUAUCUGUCCCCUCCUGAGAUCAAACAAGGACAAGAAGGGGAGGCAGGAGGGGAUCAGAGCUGUAGGAAAACAGACACAAACGGUGAAGGUUGGAGAUGUUCUGAGAUGCCAGGAUAGAAGGGGAUGAAGGUACACAGGUGAUAGGAGGACAGAGAAUGAUGAACAGAAACCCAAGGAAAACAAAGGGAGGAGAGAGAGCAAAAAAGAUAAAGUGAAGGAGAGGAGAGAAAGGACAAAGGAGGGCUGGGGGAAAAGUGCCAAACAAGCAGUAAGAAAGGACGAUAAAAGACAGGCAAGUUAAGAUAUUGGUUCAAGAAGAAAUGGAAAGAAGAGGGAUGGAAGAGACUCAUAGGAGAGACGGUAAAACGUAGAUUAGACAGGGACAGAGAAAUAAGGUGAUGAACAGUCACAGGGCAGGACAGAGACAGAACAGGACUGAGAGGCCUGGCCAGAUCCCAAGGUAGGCAGACUCAAGUCAGAGACAAGCAACCCAACACACUCGGGCUUUGUGUGGGGUCCAGCUCCAAGAGUGAGGCGAAACUAAGGACCAGAGCUCCGGAGAGAGAGAAGUAAGGACAGAGGGAGACUAAGAUAACACAGAUGGCAGCAGAACUGAGAGAAGCCAAGAGGCAACAACAAAGACACCAAGAGGAAGAGAUAGAGAAAAGCUAACCUUGAGAAAGCAGAAAGCAGCAGGUGCAGACAGAAACAAUGUUCAAGGCCACAAGAGAGAGAACCAGUAACAGGAACAAAAACUCCCAGAUUUAAAUAAAUAAAUACACACACACAUAGAUACACGUAUGUAUGUGCCUCUAUGUUUGUGUUAGUACACCAUGUUAUUAGCAAUGGAUAUCACUGAGAAGUAGUAGUAUAGGAAAUUUUUUUCUUUUUUUUUGAGACGGAGUCUCGCUCUGUCGCCCAGGCUGGAGUGCAGUGGCACAAUCUUGGCUCAUUGCAACUUCCGCCUCUCGGGUUCAAGCAAUUCUCCUGUCUCAGCCUCCUGAGUAGCUGGGACUACAGGCACCCACCACCACGCCUGGCUAAUUUUUGUAUUUUUAGUGGAGACAGGGUUUCACCAUAUUUGCCAGGCUGGUCUCAAACUCCUGACCUCAGGUGAUCCACCCGCCUUGGCCUCCCAAAGUGCUGGGAUUAGAAGCACGAGCCACCGCGCCCAGCCAGAAAUUUUUAUUUUCUAUUUUGUGCUUUUGUGUAAUUUCCAAAUUUCUGUUAAUGAACACGUCUUUAUAUCAGAAAAGGAAAAACAAUAGAAAUUUAAAUAUAUAAGUACAGCCGGGUGUGGUGGCUCACGCCUGUAAUCCCAACACUUUGGUAGACCAAGGCGGGGUGGAUUGCUUGAGGUCAGGAGUUUGAGACCAGCCUGGCCAACAUGGCGAAACCUCAU